GGGCGAUUAGCUCAGUCGGUAGAGCGCUACAUUCGCAUUGUAGAGGCCACCGGUUCGAAUCCGGUAUCGUCCACCA
RNAcentral lists this transfer RNA (76 nucleotides) under candidate division Kazan bacterium RIFCSPHIGHO2_01_FULL_49_10. RNAcentral's name for it is "tRNA-Ala". It matches the Rfam family "tRNA". Rfam says of the family: Transfer RNA (tRNA) molecules are approximately 80 nucleotides in length. Their secondary structure includes four short double-helical elements and three loops (D, anti-codon, and T loops). RNAcentral also lists the same sequence under 1 other name. The record is from RNAcentral.